GGCGUCGGCGGCUGAGUUGGAGGAAGGGAACAGCUUGUCGUCAAUGAAGCCGGAUAGUUCUCGGGUGGUGUUCUUGGGGCCCGGAUCCCCUCCCACGCGGCGUUGGGGAGGCCCGCAGUUGAAGCGCAAGGGAUCGUCUUGGAAGACUAGCUGAGAAUUUAGGCCGUUUUGGGAGGGAACUAAGGAAAUUUCCUCUGCUGACAUAGUUUUGGAGGUCAAAUUACAUGAAAAUGGAACCCUAAUUUUGAUGAAUUGGGAAUGAAAAUGGUUGAGCUAUUGAAGG
Molecule: unclassified non-coding RNA, 283 nt
Filed under: Hevea brasiliensis (rubber tree)
Lineage: Eukaryota; Viridiplantae; Streptophyta; Magnoliopsida; Malpighiales; Euphorbiaceae
Source: RNAcentral